This 509-nucleotide ribosomal RNA is filed under the name uncultured Geomyces. RNAcentral describes it as "eukaryotic LSU rRNA". It matches the Rfam family "Eukaryotic large subunit ribosomal RNA", at positions 86 to 601 of the family's 3401-position model. The record is from RNAcentral. Lineage: Eukaryota; Fungi; Ascomycota; Leotiomycetes; Myxotrichaceae.
ACGGCGAGUGAAGCGGUAACAGCUCAAAUUUGAAAUCUGGCCUCACGGUCCGAGUUGUAAUUUGUAGAGGAUGCUUCGAGCAUGGUCUGGCCUAAGUUCCUUGGAACAGGACGUCAUAGAGGGUGAGAAUCCCGUAUGCGGCCAGGUGCCUACGCUCAUGUGAAGCUCCUUCGACGAGUCGAGUUGUUUGGGAAUGCAGCUCAAAAUGGGUGGUAAAUUUCAUCUAAAGCUAAAUAUUGGCCAGAGACCGAUAGCGCACAAGUAGAGUGAUCGAAAGAUGAAAAGCACUUUGGAAAGAGAGUUAAACAGUACGUGAAAUUGUUGAAAGGGAAGCGCUUGCAACCAGACUUGCGCGCGGCCGAUCAUCCGGUGUUCUCACCGGUGCACUCGGCCGUGCUCAGGCCAGCAUCGGUUUUGGCGGCUGGAUAAAGGCCCUAGGAAUGUAGCUCCUCUCGGGGAGUGUUAUAGUCUAGGGUGCAAUGCAGCCUGCUGGGACCGAGGACCGCGCU